This 465-nucleotide ribosomal RNA is filed under the name uncultured bacterium. Its description in RNAcentral is "partial 16S ribosomal RNA". It matches the Rfam family "Bacterial small subunit ribosomal RNA", at positions 28 to 507 of the family's 1533-position model. The record is from RNAcentral.
GACGAACGCUGGCGGCGUGCUUAACACAUGCAAGUCGAACGCUGAACCCGCUUCGGUGGGGGAUGAGUGGCGAACGGGUGAGUAACACGUGGGCAACCUGCCCCCGGCUCUGGGAUAACUCCAAGAAAUUGGGGCUAAUACCGGAUGUGACCGCUGGCCGCAUGGUCUGGUGGUGGAAAGGGUUUCCGGCUGGGGAUGGGCCCGCGGCCUAUCAGCUUGUUGGUGGGGUAGUGGCCUACCAAGGCGACGACGGGUAGCCGGCCUGAGAGGGUGACUGGCCACACUGGGACUGAGACACGGCCCAGACUCCUACGGGAGGCAGCAGUGGGGAAUAUUGCGCAAUGGGCGGAAGCCUGACGCAGCGACGCCGCGUGGGGGAUGACGGCCUUCGGGUUGUAAACCUCUUUCAGCAGGGACGAAGCGCAAGUGACGGUACCUGCAGAAGAAGCACCGGCCAACUACGUG